CUUCAGGGAGCCCAGGUGCAGCGGCCGGUCCGCCGGGCGCCCGCUGCCGUAGGUGGCCAGCAGCGCCUGCGCCUC
RNAcentral lists this antisense RNA (75 nucleotides) under Streptomyces sp. WM6349. RNAcentral's name for it is "ASpks sRNA". It matches the Rfam family "ASpks TB sRNA". The record is from RNAcentral. RNAcentral also lists the same sequence under 13 other names. Lineage: Bacteria; Bacillati; Actinomycetota; Actinomycetes; Kitasatosporales; Streptomycetaceae.